RNAcentral lists this ribosomal RNA (253 nucleotides) under uncultured bacterium. RNAcentral's name for it is "partial 16S ribosomal RNA". It matches the Rfam family "Bacterial small subunit ribosomal RNA", at positions 524 to 776 of the family's 1533-position model. The record is from RNAcentral.
GACGGAGGAGGCAAGCGUUAUCCGGGAUUUUUGGGCGUAAAGGGUACGUAGGCGGCUGGUCAAGUCUGGGGUUAAAGGCCACAGCUCAACUGUGGGAAGGCCCUGGAAACUGACCGGCUAGAGUGAGGUAGGGGCUGCGGGAAUUCCCGGUGUAGCGGUGAAAUGCGUAGAGAUCGGGAAGAACACCUGAGGCGGAAGCGCGCAACUGGGCCUCAACUGACGCUGAGGUACGAAAGCUAGGGGAGCGAAUGGG